Molecule: long non-coding RNA, 333 nt
Filed under: Mustela putorius furo (domestic ferret)
Lineage: Eukaryota; Metazoa; Chordata; Mammalia; Carnivora; Mustelidae
Description: lncRNA (ENSMPUG00000030599.1)
Source: RNAcentral
UAGGAUUGUAUCCCUUUGAAGAGAAAACAUGCUCCAAUUGAUCUGCUCAAGGAGAGUUAAUUUUCUUCUAUUUAAAAGAGUAGCUUUUGGCAGAACUGGAACAAACAAUCCUAAAAUUUGUAUGGAACAAUAAAGGAAUGUGAAUAGCCAAAGCAAACUUGAGAAAGAAGAACAAAGCUGGAAUUUCACAAUCACAGAUUUCAAGAUUUAUUGCAGAACUAUAGUAAACAAAACUAUGUUAUUGGCACAAAAAUGCUCAUGUAGAUCAAUGAAACAGAAUAAAGAGCCUAGAAAUAAACCCAUGCUAUAUGGUCAAUUAAUCUAUAACAAAGG